Molecule: long non-coding RNA, 3920 nt
Organism: Oncorhynchus keta (chum salmon)
Lineage: Eukaryota; Metazoa; Chordata; Actinopteri; Salmoniformes; Salmonidae
Exons: 5
Source: RefSeq, a predicted model, not a curated record
UAGUAUGGUCAUGUUGGGGUGGGCAGUCUAUGUGUGUUUUUCUAUGUUGGUUUUUGUGUUCAGCCUAGUAUGGUUCUCAAUCAGAGGCAGGUGUCGUUAGUUGUCUCUGAUUGAGAAUCAUACUUAGGUAGCCUGGGUUUCACUGUGUGUUUGUGGGUGUUUGUUUUCCGUGUCAGUGUUUGUCGCCACACGGUUCGGUUUCGGUUCAUGUUCACGUUUAUUGUUUUGUAUUUUCAUAGUGUUCAGUUUAUAUCUUAUAAUAAACGUUAUGGACACCUGCCACGCUGCGCAUUGGUCCUCCGAUCCUUCUUCUCGCUUCUCCUCCUCAGACGAGGAAUGUGGUUACAGGUGAAGUGAAAUUAAAAACUUUUUUUUUUUUAAACAUUCUAAAAAAUAAGAAACUGAAAAGUGGUGCGUGUAUAUGUGUUCACAUGAAGCCCCUAAAUAAGAUCUGGUGCAACCAAUUACCUUCAGAAGUCACAUCAUUAAAUUAAAUAAAGUCCACCUGUGUGCAAUCUCAGUCACAUAAUCUCAGUGUAUAUAUACACCUGUUCUGAAAGGCCCCAGAGUCUGCAACACCAGUAAGCAAGGGGCACCACCAAGCAAGCAGCACCAUGAAGACCAAGGAGCUCUCCAAACAGGUCAGAGACAAAGUUUUGGAGAAGUACAGAUCAGAGUUGGGUUAUAAAAAAACAUCUGAUACUUUGAUCAUCCCACAGAGCACCAUUAAAUCCAUUAUUAACAAAUGGAAAGAAUAUGGCACCACAACAAACCUGCUAAGAGAGGGCUGCCCACCAAAACUCACGGACCAGGCAAGAAGGUCAUUAAUCAGAGAGGCAACAAAGAGACCAAAGAUAACCCUGAAGGAGCUGCAAAGCUCCACAGCGGAGAUUGGAACAUCUGUCCAUAGGACCACUUUAAGCAGUACACUCCACAAAGCUGGGCUUUAUGGAAGAGUGGUCAGAAAAAAGCCAUUGCUUAAAUAAAAAAAUACCCAAACACGUUUGGUGUUCGCCAAAAUUCAUGUGGGAGACUCCCCAAACAUAUGGAAGAAUGUACUCUGGUCAGAUGAGACUAAAAUUGAGCAUUUUGGCCAUAAAGGAAAACACUAUGUCUGGCGCAAACACAACACCUCUCAUCACCCGAGAAGACCAUCCCCACAGUGAAGCAUGGUGGUGGCAGCAUCAUGCUGUGGGGAUGUUUUUCAUCUGCAGGGAAACUGGUCAAAAUUUAAGAAAUGAUGGAUGGUGCUAAAUACAGGGACAUUCUUGAGGGAAACCUGUUUCAGUGUUCCAGAGAUAUGAGACUGGGACGGAGGUUCACCUUCCAGCAGGACAAUGACCCUAAUCAUACUGCUAAAGCAACACUCGAGUGGUUUAUGGGGAAACAUGUAAAUGUCUUGGAAUGGCCUCGUCAAAGCCCAGACCUCAAUCCAAUUGAGAAUCUGUGGUAUGACUUAAAGAUUGCUGUACACCAGCGUAACCCAUCCAACUUGAAGGAGCUGGAGCAGUAUCACCUUGAAUAAUGGGCAACAAUCCCAGUGGCUAGAUGUGCCAAGCUUAUAGAGACAUACCCCAAGAGACUUGCAGCUGUAAUUGCUGAGAAAGGUGGCUCUACAAAGUAUUGAUUUUGGGGGGGUGAAUAGUUAUGCAUGCUGAGGUUUUCAGUUUUUUUGCCUUAUUUCUUGUUUGUUUCACAACAAAACAUUAUUUGCAUCUUCAAAGUGGUAGGCAUGUUGUGUAAAUCAAAUGAUACAACCCCCAAAAAUCAAUUUUAUUUCCAGGUUGUAAGGCAACAAAAUAGGAACAAUGCCAAGAGGGGUGAAUACUUUCACAAGCCACUGUAUAUGUGGAAUAGGGUGUCAUGUGACACAGACAUUGAUGAGGUAGGUAGAGUUAUGUAGACAGGGUGAUGAGGUAGGUAGAGUUAUGUAGACAGGGUGAUGAGGUAGGUAGAGUUAUGUAGACAGGGUGAUGAGGUAGGUAGAGUUAUGUAGACAGGGUGAUGAGGUAGGUAGAGUUAUGUAGACAGGGUGAUGAGGUAGAUAGAGUUAUGUAGACAGUGUGAUGAGGUAGAUAGUAGAUUUAUGUAGACAGGGUGAUGAGGUAGAUCGAUUUAUGUAGACAGUGUGAUGAGGUAGAUAGUAGAUUUAUGUAGACAGGGUGAUGAGGUAGAUAGUAGAUUUAUGUAGACAGGGUGAUGAGGUAGAUAGUAGAUUUAUGUAGACAGGGUGAUGAGGUAGAUAGUAGAUUUAUGUAGACAGGGUGAUGAGGUAGAUAGAUUUAUGUAGAGAGGGUGAUGAGGUAGAUAGUAGAUUUAUGUAGAGAGGGUGAUGAGGUAGAUAGUAGAUUUAUGUAGAGAGGGUGAUGAGGUAGGUAGAGUUAUGUAGAGAGGGUGAUGAGGUAGGUAGAGUUAUGUAGAGAGGGUGAUGAGGUAGGUAGAGUUAUGUAGAGAGGGUGAUGAGGUAGGUAGAGUUAUGUAGAGAGGGUGAUGAGGUAGGUAGAGUUAUGUAGAGAGGGUGAUGAGGUAGGUAGAGUUAUGUAGAGAGGGUGAUGAGGUAGAUAGAGUUAUGUAGACAGGGUGAUGAGGUAGAUAGAGUUAUGUAGACAGGGUGAUGAGGUAGAUAGAGUUAUGUAGAGAGGGUGAUGAGGUAGGUAGAGUUAUGUAGACAGGGUGAUGAGGUAGGUAGAGUUAUGUAGACAGGGUGAUGAGGUAGAUAGAGUUAUGUAGAGAGGGUGAUGAGGUAGGUAGAGUUAUGUAGAGAGGGUGAUGAGGUAGAUAGAGUUAUGUAGAGAGGGUGAUGAGGUAGAUAGAGUUAUGUAGACAGGGUGAUGAGGUAGGUAGAGUUAUGUAGACAGGGUGAUGAGGUAGGUAGAGUUAUGUAGACAGGGUGAUGAGGUAGAUAGAGUUAUGUAGAGAGGGUGAUGAGGUAGGUAGAGUUAUGUAGACAGGGUGAUGAGGUAGAUAGAGUUAUGUAGAGAGGGUGAUGAGGUAGAUAGAGUUAUGUAGACAGGGUGAUGAGGUAGGUAGAGUUAUGUAGACAGGGUGAUGAGGUAGAUAGAGUUAUGUAGACAGGGUGAUGAGGUAGAUAGAGUUAUGUAGACAGGGUGAUGAGGUAGGUAGAGUUAUGUAGAGAGGGUGGCAGGGGAACAGUGGUUUAAGUCUCAAAUGACAGCCUAUUCCUAAUGUAGUUCAGGCUCUGGUCAAAAGUAGUGCCCUACAUUAGAGAUUCAAUCCAAUGUUGAUGUGGAAGGAAGGAGCAAUGUGGCGAUGGAGAGGGUGCUAAAAGAGGAAACCAGACAGCUCCUCCUCUUCCUGUUCAUCACAGAGGAUGCGUUCCACAUGGCAAUACAUCCCCUACAUCCCCUAUGUAAGUCCAACAAUCCCCUAUGUAAUGUACUCAUUUCAAAAAGGCCUCAUUGCGUUUUAGGACCCUUGAAGAAGUAUAUGGAAGGACUGAGGUAAAAAAUAAUUAAUGAAGAGUCCUAAGAAACCUGAUCAGAUCAUCAGAACAGUAUUGACAUUCCAGCCACACAACAAAAUAUAUAUUCAGUACAUUUAGUAUAAAAACAAUAUAUACACAAAUAUUAUAUUUGACCUUGUGAACUGUGAUAGAAAGGGGUUGUUUUUUGGGGGAGGGAAGGUAUUUUUUUAUUUAACCUUUUAUUUAACUAGGCAAGUCAGUUAAGAACAAAUUCUUAUUUUCAAUGACGGCCUAGGAACAGUGGGUUAACUGGUCUAGGAACAGUGGGUUAACUGGUCUAGGAACAGUGGGUUAACUGGUCUAGGAACAGUGGGUUAACUGGUCUAGGAACAGGGGGUUAACUGGUCUAGGAACAGAGGGUUAACUGGUCUAGGAACAGGGGUUAACUGGUCUAGGAACAGGGGGUUAACUGGUCUAGGAACAGGGGGUUAACUGG